GAUGAACGCUGGCGGCGUGCCUAAUACAUGCAAGUCGAGCGAACGGACGAGAAGCUUGCUUCUCUGAUGUUAGCGGCGGACGGGUGAGUAACACGUGGAUAACCUACCUAUAAGACUGGGAUAACUUCGGGAAACCGGAGCUAAUACCGGAUAAUAUUUUGAACCGCAUGGUUCAAAAGUAAAAGACGGUCUUGCUGUCACUUAUAGAUGGAUCCGCGCUGCAUUAGCUAGUUGGUAAGGUAACGGCUUACCAAGGCAACGAUGCAUAGCCGACCUGAGAGGGUGAUCGGCCACACUGGAACUGAGACACGGUCCAGACUCCUACGGGAGGCAGCAGUAGGGAAUCUUCCGCAAUGGGCGAAAGCCUGACGGAGCAACGCCGCGUGAGUGAUGAAGGUCUUCGGAUCGUAAAACUCUGUUAUUAGGGAAGAACAUAUGAGUAAGUAACUGUGCACAUCUUGACGGUACCUAAUCAGAAAGCCACGGCUAACUACGUG
This 497-nucleotide ribosomal RNA is filed under the name uncultured bacterium. RNAcentral's name for it is "partial 16S ribosomal RNA". It matches the Rfam family "Bacterial small subunit ribosomal RNA", at positions 28 to 507 of the family's 1533-position model. The record is from RNAcentral.